RNAcentral lists this ribosomal RNA (484 nucleotides) under uncultured bacterium. RNAcentral describes it as "partial 16S ribosomal RNA". It matches the Rfam family "Bacterial small subunit ribosomal RNA", at positions 30 to 507 of the family's 1533-position model. The record is from RNAcentral.
AUUGAACGCUGGCGGCAGGCCUAACACAUGCAAGUCGAGCGGAUGAAGGGAGCUUGCUCCUGGAUUCCGCGGCGGACGGGUGAGUAAUGCCUAGGAAUCUGCCUGGUAGUGGGGGAUAACGUCCGGAAACGGGCGCUAAUACCGCAUACGUCCUGAGGGAGAAAGUGGGGGAUCUUCGAACCUCACGCUAUCAGAUGAGCCUAGGUCGGAUUAGCUAGUUGGUGGGGUAAAGGCCUACCAAGGCGACGAUCCGUAACUGGUCUGAGAGGAUGAUCAGUCACACUGGAACUGAGACACGGUCCAGACUCCUACGGGAGGCAGCAGUGGGGAAUAUUGGACAAUGGGCGAAAGCCUGAUCCAGCCAUGCCGCGUGUGUGAAGAAGGUCUUCGGAUUGUAAAGCACUUUAAGUUGGGAGGAAGGGCAGUAAGUUAAUACCUUGCUGUUUUGACGUUACCAACAGAAUAAGCACCGGCUAACUUCGUG